UUCAGAGGAUGUAUCCAGAGAGAAUUAACAGACACAGAAAGAUUAGGCACAAAACAAUUACGUUACUAAACGUGUCCGGAUCCCCAUUGUUGGCCUGACUCUGUGGGAACUGGCUCCACACCAGUGUCCUUGGGGUGGUGUCUUGAGGAAAGCAGUUUGUCCUAGGAUGAGUCCUACCCAUAAACACGGUAGUGCCAUCUGAUGGCGCUGGUCUUUGCAACCCUGGGAACCAUGGUGAGGAUAGAAGUUAAAAGAGAAUAGAGCUUCAUGACAAAAGACAUUUGUCAUGUGAUAACUGAGGGAAAGAUUAGAAACGGGUAAGGAAGUUAUGUCAAUUCUGAUCCUGCAGGGAAAGAAAAAUGAUUAAGUUAAGGCUGUAAGAACAGCUUUGAUCCUACAGUCCGAUUAUAGUCCGGUGAAAGUGUUUCCUGUGUCAGGAUCAAUUGUAUGAGGGGACAGAUAAGAGGAGGUGGGCCACAUGGGCAGAUGAUUGAAAAUCACACCCAGUGUUGGGUUUUGUCUGAUGAAAACAAUUGUCCCUCACAGACAAGAAGUGGAAGAAAUGGAAGAUCAGCUGCUGGAGGCUGAGCUCACCUUCAAUCACAAGAUCGCAGUUCAGGAGAGAAAUGCUGUGGCUAACUGGAUGAAGGCUCGGUAUUGGGAAACAAGGAUGAUGCAGCAGAGCAGGGAGAACGCGUACCUGAAAUACAGACUGCGCAUGAUGGAAGGGGAGAUGCUGCCUGUGGGAUCCAUGCGGCGCAGACCGAUGCCGGGGAGGCCCGAGUUGCAGGAGCCUCUGUGGCAAGCACCUAGACCGGUUCCCAGGAUGAAUGGCAGCACCAGCCCUCAAAGGGACCCCGAGAUGGCUUCGGUCGGUAGAGGUGUGAGAGAGUUUCCUCGUUGCCCAGGGCCCCUCCAUAUGCCCUACCACAUGGGGCGGAAUGUACCAGGCUUCCCUCCUACUCAGCCACACCUCGUUCCUCCACCACAUGUCACUUCCAGGGGGAGAAGCUUCUGUCUUUUCCAUGGAUGCUCCAUGCUGUAGCAUCCUCCACAAGGACCAGCGGUGCUGCCCACAGGCCUCUCAUGUCAUGGUGGAGUGAAGGCUGCUAAAGACACAGCUAAUCAUUUUGUAAUCCGAAGACUUCCUUGACCUCCUACAACCAGGCUCCAAGGAGUUUGUAUUUAGUAAACAUAUGAAUGUUUUCUGCCUGGUGGUCUGAAUGCUUUCCCUGCCCAUCCUGUCCCCUGUGCUUUGUCUCUCCUGGUAUCCCCCCAACAAACCGUUCACAGUUCUGUCUCUGU
RNA transcript from Lutra lutra (Eurasian river otter), 1305 nucleotides. It is a transcript of the gene named transport and Golgi organization protein 1 homolog, with no coding region annotated. The transcript is spliced from 8 exons. The record is from RefSeq and is a predicted model, not a curated record. NCBI's taxonomy places the organism in Eukaryota, Metazoa, Chordata, Mammalia, Carnivora, Mustelidae.